Molecule: ribosomal RNA, 254 nt
Filed under: uncultured prokaryote
Description: partial 16S ribosomal RNA
Rfam family: Bacterial small subunit ribosomal RNA
Source: RNAcentral
ACGGAGGGGGCUAGCGUUGUUCGGAAUUACUGGGCGUAAAGCGCACGUAGGCGGACUGGAAAGUCAGGGGUGAAAUCCCGAGGCUCAACCUCGGAACUGCCUUUGAUACUGGCGAUCUUUGAGUCCGGGAGAGGUGAGUGGAACUCCGAGUGUAGAGGUGAAAUUCGUAGAUAUUCGGAAGAACACCAGUGGCGAAGGCGGCUCACUGGCCCGGUACUGACGCUCAGGUGCGAAAGCGUGGGGAGCAAACAGGA